UGCCAUGCUGACAUUUACUGCAUCACUACAACAAGAUUUAAAAAUUCAAAACAAAAGAGGCUAUCGUUUGUUAAAAGUGGGUUAGCAAUAAGUUAAAACGGCUUGUGACAAAAGGAAAGAUAAAUAAAUUCAAGGACAAACCAACAUUUUCAGAGCAAUGACGAAAGUUUGCCGAGUCUGCCUGGCAAAAUCGAGACCCAUGAUCAAUAUAUUUGACAAUACAAUAGAACCUGGAGUUCAAAUUGCAAGUAGGCUCUCUGAGUUUACAGAAUUUGCCGUUUCUAGAGGAGAUUCAUUUCCGGAAAACAUUUGCCCGUCUUGCCUUCACGACUUUCAAAUCGCAUUUCACUUCAAAGAAAAAUAUGAAAGAAGCCUAAAUACAUUUAAGAAAAGAUUAGGCCACCAGGGUUACUUCAUAAUACCAGAUGAUGAGUUCUCGACAUCAGCGGAAGUGAAGCCAGAGGAAACCGAUAAUGAAUUUCGGGAGGAAGAAAUUAUUGUUAAGAACGAACCAAUAGAUAAUGAUCUAUUCGAGAAUGAAUUUUUCCAGAUUGUAAAGAACACUGACAUUACCAAACUUCAUAAUGUGGUUUCAUCAAUAAUAAAGUCAGCUCAAGAGGAACUAAUUUCUGGGUUAAAAGAAGAAAACAAAGAAAUCAAAGCUAAGCUUGAAAAACUUUCAAAGGAUUUUUAUACGCUUGCGAGCAAAAAAAAACAAAAAGGACGAUGCAGACGAGCCCGAAGGUAUCAUUAGUUUUCCCAUUAAAAAUAUGGCCGAGUUGGACAAGUUUGAGACGAUGUUUUUACCAGAACAUAAGGACAUUUAUGUUAAGAAGCUAAAAGUUCUUAUGUCCCGCGGUCCGCUUUCAAAGAAAUUUAAAAAUAUCAUGGACGAGUACCUUUUAACCAAUUUCAAUUUAGAAGGAAGUUCUGGUAAACUGUCCCUUAAGUCCCGAAAGGCUUUUUAUUCUGUCCUGGAAGAAGCGACAAAAUUAGUUUAUCCAAAUGAUUCGGUCAGGAAGGUGCUUCAAAAAGCCUUUUUAAACAUAAAAAACAAGAUAAUUAAAAGAAAUUCAAGAUUAAGAUCAGAAUUUCGGCAAACAAAAAAUAAUCAAAAAAAUAAUGAUAAUACCAUAACAUUUUACAACUGCAAAUAAGGGAACAAAUAUUACCAAACUUUAAAAGGAGAACAUCAAAAUUUUCAUUUGUCAGUGCUGUUACAAACCGAUCACCUGUUACUUUUUAAGAACAAAAUAAAUGAAAUGUGAUGUCUACUCCAGCUCUGAUUUUAUGAACUGCAGUUAUAGAUUUAAAUUUUUUCGGACUUGAUUGCUUCCAAACUCGAUUGCUGUCACGGAUCACCGAUCAACUCAAUUAAAAAUAAAUAAAAAAAUAAAAAAUCAUA
This is an RNA transcript of Drosophila ficusphila, 1405 nucleotides long. RefSeq lists it as uncharacterized. NCBI's taxonomy places the organism in Eukaryota, Metazoa, Arthropoda, Insecta, Diptera, Drosophilidae. The record is from RefSeq and is a predicted model, not a curated record. The transcript has 6 exons.